GAUGAACGCUGGCGGCGUGCUUAACACAUGCAAGUCGAACGAUGAACCGGGUGCUUGCACUCGGGGAUUAGUGGCGAACGGGUGAGUAACACGUGAGCAACCUGCCCCUGACUCUGGGAUAAGCGCUGGAAACGGCGUCUGAUACUGGAUAUGUCCCGUCACCGCAUGGUGUGCGGGUGGAAAGAUUUUUCGGUUGGGGAUGGGCUCGCGGCCUAUCAGCUUGUUGGUGAGGUAAUGGCUCACCAAGGCGUCGACGGGUAGCCGGCCUGAGAGGGUGACCGGCCACACUGGGACUGCGACACGGCCCAGACUCCUACGGGAGGCAGCAGUGGGGAAUAUUGCACAAUGGGCGGAAGCCUGAUGCAGCAACGCCGCGUGAGGGAUGACGGCCUUCGGGUUGUAAACCUCUUUUAGCAGGGAAGAAGCGAGAGUGACGGUACCUGCAGAAAAAGCACCGGCUAACUACGUGCCAGCCGCCGCUGUAA
This 485-nucleotide ribosomal RNA is filed under the name uncultured bacterium. RNAcentral describes it as "partial 16S ribosomal RNA". It matches the Rfam family "Bacterial small subunit ribosomal RNA", at positions 28 to 523 of the family's 1533-position model. The record is from RNAcentral.